Molecule: long non-coding RNA, 1040 nt
Filed under: Ficedula albicollis (Collared flycatcher)
Lineage: Eukaryota; Metazoa; Chordata; Aves; Passeriformes; Muscicapidae
Description: lncRNA (ENSFALG00000025319.1)
Source: RNAcentral
AUGAAAAAGAUGAAUCCUAGCACUACAAAUCACCUGGAACACAGAGAUGCACAAAUCAUUUCAGCAUCCAGGUUUUCAUCUCCACAGCUCGUAACAAAGCCAGCUGUUGGGACAGGAGCAUUUCUAAGUUAUAAACCAGGGAAGCCAGAGGAGAAGCUGCCCUUCCAUUGCCAAGGCUGUGUGCCGUGCCAGGCCAUCAGCAGAACUCGUUCAUCACUGCAGCUCCUGUAACUCACUUCUCUUUCCCAUAUGUUGGGAUGGAUCUUUUACCGUGCUGCAACGAAUCACAUCACAUUUCAGCAAAAAGAACAUUACAUUAACACCAGAGAAGGCACUGUGAGUAUUCCUUUACAAAGGAUUUAUAAGGGUCAGGAACAGGCACAGAAUUUAACAAAAUACUUGUCUGCUAAUAGCACUCAUUGUUUCCAUUCAGAUCUGAAAAAUUCACCUUUUUCCAUUGUUUAGCAUAUAAAAUUGGGUAGGAUUUUAAAGCUCCAGCUUCAGAGAGUCUGCUCUUAAAUUUAAGAGCUGUGAUUACCAAUUUAAAUGUCCUUUGGAAUUCUUAGCUCUUUCAUCAUCAAUUCUUCCCAUAUCAGUAAACGAAUCAUCAUUUACUAAUAACACUAGGAAGAUUUUUAAAAAGGACUAUUAAAUACUUUAUAUUUUAAUCUAUUGUUUUAAAAUAUUUAUUUUACUAGAAAGCGUGACUUUCAUAUUGGUAUUUUUCUUUUCAAAGCUAACAUUUCCAGAUGAAAUACAAAAACAAUAGCCUUUAUUUAUUUUGAAAGCAAGAAUCAGCCCAUUAUUCCUAAACUGAAAGUAUUUACCUGUCAGAAGCAGCACAGACCAGAUUCCUCUAGAUUCUGUUCAGAGCAUGGAGCAUUUCACCCCUUUUAUGCCCACUUCCAGUAUAUAUUUAUUUAAAUAAACAUUGGUAACUACAAUUUCAGGAUUCAACAGUCGAAGCUGAAAACUGUGAGGGACCCAAUCCUGGGCCUCUGUUUGUAGCAAUUCAGCUGGCACUGCCCUUUUUGCUUGCU